GUAAUUUAAAUUUGUAUGCAGUUGGAACAGCGCCCCUAGCGGAAAAUGUAGGCAAACGUUCCAACUCUAUACAAAUUUGAUUUA
This 84-nucleotide microRNA precursor is filed under the name Bombyx mori (domestic silkworm). Its description in RNAcentral is "mir-2807 microRNA precursor family". It matches the Rfam family "mir-2807 microRNA precursor family". The record is from Rfam by way of RNAcentral. Lineage: Eukaryota; Metazoa; Arthropoda; Insecta; Lepidoptera; Bombycidae.